This 1797-nucleotide long non-coding RNA is filed under the name Nicotiana tabacum (common tobacco). RNAcentral's name for it is "long non-coding RNA (NTAB_LNC001947)". The record is from RNAcentral. Lineage: Eukaryota; Viridiplantae; Streptophyta; Magnoliopsida; Solanales; Solanaceae.
CUACCAAAGUAAAUCCUUUUGAUUUGCUUUGUUUUCUCUAUGUUUUUCUUUGGGUUUUGCUACUUUUUUCUCUUUGAUUUUCGCACAUUUUUUCGCCAAAAUUUAAAUUUUGACUUUUACUGAGAUUAUCAAAAAAGAUUAAUCGAAGGUUACAUCUGUUACUGGAUUUCUUUGAAAAACUGAGCGAUUUGGUCAUCUCCUUGCAACACUGGUAACGCCAUCAUCCGUCAGCUGCACUUUUGCUCUAUCAAGGUAAUUACAUGGGUUUAAAAAGUUUUUCCCCAGCUAUGUUGUGUCUGUUACUUUGAUAUUAGCUCUGGCUUACAAAAUGGUAAGAUAUUACAGCACAAUCGAAAAAAUAUGCUGCGCCAAGAGAAUAUUAGGCAAGAAUAAUAGUUUAAGAAAUUAUACUUUCAUUAUUUUGGCAUUCAGAUUGCGAUUAAGUGUGAUUCUGUACUUCUUUCAACGCUUUAGAGAUGCCAAUGCAAAAUUGUAAUGAAGCAACAUUAUUUAAAAGUGUCAAAAGCAUGUCCUAGAUCAUUCAGAAAGUGUUCUUAGUUGAAAAAGGUAAUGUUCAUUGUGUUAGCUUUAGAGAUACUAAUUAUAAAUUUACACACAAUAUUAAGUUGCACAUGCCAAUACUCUUUGGAUUUGUUACUUCUCGAAACUGAGAACUUGACAAAGUUUCGUCUUGAAAUAUGAUUGAAGUUUGGGUUAAAGCUGGUUGCAUGUGUCUAAGGAUGUAUUAAUCCAUGUAGUAUAGAACUUUGUAUCNNNNNNNNNNNNNNNNNGCUUACCCACUUCAAUGUCAUCUUGUAAUUUAUUUAAUUGCAGCUAUACAUACUUAUGGUUAUAGGAACCUAAUAUGACUAAAUCUUGUAGUUCUUAUUUAGCUAAAUUUAUUGUUUUUUUCAUAUAUUCCAAAACCAGUUGGUCAUGAAAUAAGCACUCUAUUUGAUGGUUCAUUUUUAUCUUGACUAAAACUUAUUCUUCUUGUUAUUGGUUUGGGUUUAGUAGGUGCCAAUAACGUAUAAUCCUUUGCAUGGUAUAAAACUCAAGCUCAUUGGUGUCAGAAGUUCUUUUUACGUAUUUUGUUGUGAUUCUAUAAGCUGGGUUUCUAUGAAACACAGAGCAUAAAGUUCAAAACUGUUUGUUCAUCUUCACGACUUCGAUGAUGUUCUUCACUGCUCCGUUUUGCUUUUUCAAGGUAAGCGCAUAGUUAAAAAAGUUAGUUUUCUGAUCUAUCGUGUUGGAUCUUUUACUACGGCUCUAUUGUUUGAAGGUUUAUAAGUUUGACUUCACUGAACUUCAAUAAACUGAUAAUCAGACUGUAGUCUUUAAUGUAUAACCUGUAAAUUAUAGAGCUUUGAUUUUUUUUCAUUAUUUGUCCCAAAGUAAAGAUUUGGAUAAUCUGAGUUGUUUAGUUAGCCCUUCUGGUUGGGUAUAAACAAGAGUGUCUAUGAAUUGCUCAAAUUAAAAUAAACAUUCAGGACCAAACUACUAUUUCUAAUUACUAUCUUAAAGGUAUGAAAGGUUGAGUACUUUAAUAUAUGUCAGUUAGUAGCCAUGUUGGUGAAACGGUAGAACUUUGCUCAUAUUUAACUUAUGUCUCCUUCUUGCUCAUUGAUAUAUUUCAUGUCUCACUUCUGCACUUUUAUCAUUGGAAGAGAUAAUAUUUUCUAUUUUACACAAUCAACACCUUUGAAAACAAUUAAUAGUUUUCAUUUACUCUAUCAGGACCUGCUAUUCAUCCAUUGGUCGAGCAAGAUUCUCAAAGCUUGCAGCAAUUACUUCCUG